This is a long non-coding RNA of Hylaeus anthracinus, 906 nucleotides long. RefSeq lists it as uncharacterized. Lineage: Eukaryota; Metazoa; Arthropoda; Insecta; Hymenoptera; Colletidae. The transcript is spliced from 3 exons. The record is from RefSeq and is a predicted model, not a curated record.
CUCAAGAGCGGCUGGGUACUUUCUACAUCCGUGAAUAAUUAAAUUACGCCAAUGGAAAUUCGUUUUCCUUCGUAACGAAAGCAUCUCGCAUCCCUUCUAAAAAUACACGGAAGAACGGUACCGGAGGAGCGGAACAACUCCAGGCGGUUUUUUUUUCCCCACCGAGCAGACGAUGCCGAGGCAACAUAACCCCGAGCGUUUUCCAACUAUAUGCACCCGAUUACCAGGAACAAGACCGGCGUUUCUUGUUUCCACCGCAGAGAGAACGAGCGUGUUCCGGCUCUGACCGAUGAUGACGACGGGGCCAUCUCGCCGGGUAUCUGGACUCCUCCUCGAUCCCAGAGACGAAGGUAACAGCUAACGCGGGACGGUAACCAGACGCACGACUUCGUCAGCUACUUCUUAGCCCGGUGCAAAUUGCAAUAAUCUCCUCGGUUUCGAGAUAUUGCGAGACGUUCGAGGACUGUUUAUCAGCAUCCACGGACGAUGGCGAACAUGGUCUCGGGAACUUGAUUGCAGGGUAGGAGAUGACCAUUCGAAGAACCCGAAGGGAUGGGAGAGUGAUCUGUUAACCGACGGUGGAAGCCAGACUGUUUUAGACGUUCCACGGACGACCUAUCUUUGGUGACGAUGAACAAAGAAACUCGGGUACCAUUUCGAUCCUUCAUGAGGAUUCCCAUCGAGGGAUGGAAGAAAAUCACUGGACAUGUUGGAGUCCGAGGAAGAGAAAAGUGUACCAAUUUCAGACUUUCGAUGGACGGUUUGUUAUAGAUUAUAAAGACUCUGUUGGAGGAAAUAACUACUCUUCAGUUGGUCCAUGUCGGAGUUCACGAGAGAGGAAACUGAAGCCAUAUAACAUAGAAUAUUAAAUUUCAAACAUUCGACAAGCAGUUUGUUGAAUUUAGA